Molecule: long non-coding RNA, 374 nt
Filed under: Pan troglodytes (chimpanzee)
Lineage: Eukaryota; Metazoa; Chordata; Mammalia; Primates; Hominidae
Description: lincRNA
Source: RNAcentral
CCUUUUCUGAACAAAUAUUUUCAUGUCCAAAGUUAUUUUUCUUUCUUUCCUCUAUUAGUUUAUUCCUUAACUCAGGUGUUAGGAAAAACACAAUCUGAUUGAAUUACAUGAAGAUGUAAAUAUCUCCUAGCCUUUAACCUUAGAGAGAUUUGUAUUUUAAGAAGAAAAUCUUGGUUAACUCAGAUUUUUUGGGAAUGAUGUGAAAAACUCCAGAACAUAGAGGAGAAGAUUCAACACUCAAGCUACACACAAUUUUGAGAGUUAAACGUGAAUGAGGCACUAGUGAUAAAAGAAUGAAUAGAGACACUUGUCAAUGUGAGUUUUUGGUGUCCCUUAGGAGAAAUUCUGUGCAAUAAAGAGGCUAUGUAUGGCCA